This 420-nucleotide ribosomal RNA is filed under the name Triticum aestivum (bread wheat). RNAcentral describes it as "partial small subunit ribosomal RNA". Lineage: Eukaryota; Viridiplantae; Streptophyta; Magnoliopsida; Poales; Poaceae. The record is from RNAcentral.
AUGUGGCUAUCUCCACAACCUCUUAGUGAGCUUGAUGAAGUGGAAAGGGGCAAGGAUCUGGAUCAAAUAUCUAUUUGGCGGUCUCCCUUUUUCAUUAUCUAUGAGUGUGUCAUACACACCAUCGAUGCAAAGAUGGGUCACAAGGGGUCCUGUAAUGGGUAUUGUAUUGAUCUCAUGUCUCACCUUUAUGCGCAUCCCAACGGGAAGAUCAAUGUUCCUCAUUUUCUGUGGCAUGAGAUUCGUCUUGCCAGUCUUCAGUACAAGUGGGAUUUUCCUCAUGCUCCUUUUCUUCAGGCCUUCAUUGAGAGUAUAGCUCAUUUUCCCAUUGCUCGGACUCAUGUGCAUCCGCAGUGGGUCAUUCCACCUAAUAUGGCGGAUGAUUUGGCUCCCAAGAAAUCCACCUCUGCCCCUGCUCGAUGA